Molecule: ribosomal RNA, 615 nt
Filed under: Triticum aestivum (bread wheat)
Lineage: Eukaryota; Viridiplantae; Streptophyta; Magnoliopsida; Poales; Poaceae
Description: partial small subunit ribosomal RNA
Source: RNAcentral
AUGGGCGAUCCCAGAGUUGCGUAUGCCCCCCCAAAUAUCUCGCCUACGUCCCCUCCCCACCCCUCGGCCUCAUCUAUAAAACUCCACCCGCUCCCUCCCUCCAACAAAGAAGGAAAGAAAGAAGGAGGAUUCACUGCGCCUGCGCCACACACACCCCUCGACACCGAAGGUUUGGUUGGAUCGUCGUGCUCCAUGGGGCUUCUUGACCAGCUGUGGGACGACACGGUGGCCGGGCCGCGGCCGGACCACGGCCUCGGCAGGCUCCGCAAGUACGCGUCCUUCUCCCCGUCCUCCGCCGCCUCCGCGACGACCGCUGCCGUGCCGUCGGCCGACGUGGCGGCGCCGGCGGUGACGCGGAGCAUCACCAUCCUCCGCCCGCCGGCUCUGUCCGUGACGUCGCCGCGCAGCGAGUCCGGCUCCGGCUCCGCGCCCUCGUCCCCGGCCAGCGUCCCCGACUCCCCCUUCGGCACAGCAACGACACCCAGGGGAGAGAGUGGUUGGAGUAAGCUGCGGCGCAAAGGCAGGAUGGCCGCCGACGGCAUGGAGGCCAGCCCCGGCACCCCCAGGAGCCCCACCGUGUACGACUGGGUGGUGAUUAGUUCGCUCGACCGCUAA